GGUUAAGCGACCAAGCGUACACGGUGGAUGCCCUGGCAGUCAGAGGCGAUGAAGGACGUGCUAAUCUGCGAUAAGCGCCGGUAAGGUGAUAUGAACCGUUAUAACCGGCGAUGUCCGAAUGGGGAAACCCAGUGUGACUCGUCACACUAUCAUUAACUGAAUCCAUAGGUUAAUGAGGCGAACCGGGGGAACUGAAACAUCUAAGUACCCCGAGGAAAAGAAAUCAACCGAGAUUCCCCCAGUAGCGGCGAGCGAACGGGGAGCAGCCCAGAGCCUGAAUCAGCAUGUGUGUUAGUGGAAGCGUCUGGAAAGGCGCGCGAUACAGGGUGACAGCCCCGUACACAAAAGCGCAUGUGCUGUGAGCUCGAUGAGUAGGGCGGGACACGUGGUAUCCUGUCUGAAUAUGGGGGGACCAUCCUCCAAGGCUAAAUACUCCUGACUGACCGAUAGUGAACCAGUACCGUGAGGGAAAGGCGAAAAGAACCCCGGCGAGGGGAGUGAAACAGAACCUGAAACCGUGUACGUACAAGCAGUGGGAGCCCCACCACUAAGCCAGUGGUGAACUCCACAUACGCAUCCUUUGCUGAGGAUGCGGUUAACGAAGCGAAAGCGACGUUCAACCGCAAAAGAAGCAGAGGGGGCUUAGUGGUGGGGUGACUGCGUACCUUUUGUAUAAUGGGUCAGCGACUUAUAUUCUGUAGCAAGGUUAACCGCAUAGGGGAGCCGGAGGGAAACC
RNAcentral lists this ribosomal RNA (736 nucleotides) under Salmonella enterica. Its description in RNAcentral is "partial 23S ribosomal RNA". It matches the Rfam family "Bacterial large subunit ribosomal RNA", at positions 1 to 678 of the family's 2925-position model. Lineage: Bacteria; Pseudomonadati; Pseudomonadota; Gammaproteobacteria; Enterobacterales; Enterobacteriaceae. The record is from RNAcentral.